GCGGGUGUGGCGAAACUGGAAAACGCGGCGGUUUCCAAAACCGCUUACCUCCCAAAGGUUUUUGCGGGUUCGAGUCCCGCCAUCCGCA
This 88-nucleotide transfer RNA is filed under the name Phycisphaeraceae bacterium. Its description in RNAcentral is "tRNA-Trp". It matches the Rfam family "tRNA". Rfam says of the family: Transfer RNA (tRNA) molecules are approximately 80 nucleotides in length. Their secondary structure includes four short double-helical elements and three loops (D, anti-codon, and T loops). Further hydrogen bonds mediate the characteristic L-shaped molecular structure. tRNAs have two regions of fundamental functional importance: the anti-codon, which is responsible for specific mRNA codon recognition, and the 3' end, to which the tRNAs corresponding amino acid is attached (by aminoacyl-tRNA synthetases). tRNAs cope with the degeneracy of the genetic code in two manners: having more than one tRNA (with a specific anti-codon) for a particular amino acid; and 'wobble' base-pairing, i.e. permitting non-standard base-pairing at the 3rd anti-codon position. Lineage: Bacteria; Pseudomonadati; Planctomycetota; Phycisphaerae; Phycisphaerales; Phycisphaeraceae. RNAcentral also lists the same sequence under 1 other name. The record is from RNAcentral.